RNAcentral lists this ribosomal RNA (446 nucleotides) under uncultured bacterium. RNAcentral's name for it is "SSU rRNA". It matches the Rfam family "Bacterial small subunit ribosomal RNA", at positions 26 to 518 of the family's 1533-position model. The record is from RNAcentral.
AGAGCGAACGCUGGCGGCAGGCCUAACACAUGCAAGUCGAGCGCCCGUAGCAAUACGGGAGCGGCAGACGGGAUAGUAACACGUGGGAACGCGCCCUUCGGUUCGGAAUAACUCAGGGAAACUUGAGCUAAUACCGGAUACGCCCUUACGGGGAAAGAUUUAUUGCCGAAGGAACGGCCCGCGUCCGAUUAGCUAGUUGGUGAGGUAAUGGCUCACCAAGGCUACGAUCGGUAGCUGGUCUGAGAGGAUGACCAGCAUCACUGGGACUGAGACACGGCCCAGACUCCUACGGGAGGCAGCAGUGGGGAAUAUGGACAAUGGGCGCAAGCCUGAUCCAGCCAUGCCGCGUGGAUGAUGAAGGCCUUAGGGUUGUAAAGUCCUUUUAACGGGGAAGAUAAUGACGGUACCGUAGAAUAAGCCCCGGCUAACUUCGUGCCAGCAGCCGC